This 263-nucleotide ribosomal RNA is filed under the name Salmonella enterica. RNAcentral's name for it is "partial 16S ribosomal RNA". It matches the Rfam family "Bacterial small subunit ribosomal RNA", at positions 1 to 260 of the family's 1533-position model. The record is from RNAcentral. Lineage: Bacteria; Pseudomonadati; Pseudomonadota; Gammaproteobacteria; Enterobacterales; Enterobacteriaceae.
AAAUUGAAGAGUUUGAUCAUGGCUCAGAUUGAACGCUGGCGGCAGGCCUAACACAUGCAAGUCGAACGGUAACAGGAAGCAGCUUGCUGCUUCGCUGACGAGUGGCGGACGGGUGAGUAAUGUCUGGGAAGCUGCCUGAUGGAGGGGGAUAACUACUGGAAACGGUGGCUAAUACCGCAUAACGUCGCAAGACCAAAGAGGGGGACCUUCGGGCCUCUUGCCAUCAGAUGUGCCCAGAUGGGAUUAGCUUGUUGGUGAGGUAA